CCUACGGGGGGCAGCAGUGGGGAAUAUUGCACAAUGGGGGAAACCCUGAUGCAGCGACGCCGCGUGAGUGAUGAAGUAUUUCGGUAUGUAAAGCUCUAUCAGCAGGGAAGAUAAUGACGGUACCUGACUAAGAAGCUCCGGCUAACUACGUGCCAGCAGCCGCGGUAAUACGUAGGGAGCAAGCGUUAUCCGGAUUUACUGGGUGUAAAGGGCGGGUAGGCGGGCAUGCAA
Molecule: ribosomal RNA, 231 nt
Filed under: uncultured bacterium
Lineage: Bacteria
Description: partial 16S ribosomal RNA
Rfam family: Bacterial small subunit ribosomal RNA
Source: RNAcentral